GUCUCUGUACUACAAGACACUCCCUUCAGAUGCAUCCUACAAACUGGAAGGAGUUAAUUUCCCAAACCUUAAAAUGGCUGCCAUAGGAUUGGGCUCAGGGGAAGAGAACCCAGAAGCCCAACAUGCUGGCAAAAGGGCCAUCAAACUCCAAAUAGUCAUGCAGCUGGAGCCUCUGACAAUGUCCCCUUCUGCUGGGAAACCUUAAAUAGACCUUUGAGGGAGCUCGGACUGUUGUUUCCCCAAAACAGCAUCCCCUGUCAGCAGGAAGCAGUUAAAAUGGGUCUUCGUCCUUAUCCUUAAUCUAACAAAAGUUUGAUGUACUUCUUUAGAAAGGGGAACGAGACAGCCAGGCGGGAGAGGGCUCCCCGGAAAAACUCCAACCAGCCUGCACAAUGGGGUGGAGCCACAGAAGUUCACACCCUUUGUGGGGAGGAGUUGGGCCCCUCCUCUUCCUGUGUGGAACCUGGGAUUCCAAGGCAGGCGGGAAGUGCUCUAGCAGGGACUCUGGCAUUGCAAGAGUCCCUGUUUGCUCCUUUUCUUCCUCUUUACCCAAAAAAACUUGUCUUACUCACCAUUAAAAUUGUCUGUGAGCCUGAAUUUUCAUGACCGUGGGACAAAGAACCCCAUUUUUAGCUGAAAGAAGAAAAAGUCCUGCAACGCAUGUUCUUGUGUGUUUCUGGAGUUUGUUCAUUUUUUUAGUUGCUGAAUAGGAUUCCAUUGUAUAGAAUUUGUCCAAUUUGUUUAUCCAUUUCCCUAUUAAGGGGUAUUUGGGUUGUUUCUAGUUUUGGGUGACU
RNAcentral lists this long non-coding RNA (794 nucleotides) under Homo sapiens (human). RNAcentral describes it as "HSALNT0015993". The record is from RNAcentral. Lineage: Eukaryota; Metazoa; Chordata; Mammalia; Primates; Hominidae.